GCAGCAAGGUCUGGGAGCAUCCCUUAGCUCAGUGUUUUUCAAUCUUUUUGAUACCAGGGACUGGCUUGUUGCCUUCCUGAACUGUGUCAGGGAGACCUCAGGGACUGGCGCUGGUCCACAGAUCGGUCAU
Chelonoidis abingdonii (Abingdon island giant tortoise) is the source of this 130-nucleotide non-coding RNA. NCBI's taxonomy places the organism in Eukaryota, Metazoa, Chordata, Testudines, Testudinidae. The record is from RefSeq and is a predicted model, not a curated record.